Rhincodon typus (whale shark) is the source of this 1636-nucleotide long non-coding RNA. RefSeq lists it as uncharacterized. The record is from RefSeq and is a predicted model, not a curated record. Lineage: Eukaryota; Metazoa; Chordata; Chondrichthyes; Orectolobiformes; Rhincodontidae. The transcript has 3 exons.
AGAGUCAACCAUAUUGUUGUGGGUCUGGAGUCACAUGUAGGCCAGACCAGAUAAUCAAGAGGCCCACAGAACCGCACUUAAACCUUGACCAAGCGAAGGUUCAAGACAUCAACACCCCUCAAUAAAUCUAUGUAAAGACAUCAAUGGACCUCCUAACAUCAAUAUGCUGCCAGACCUGCCGAGCUUUCCCAGCAACUUCCGUUUUCGUUCCUGAUUUACAGCAUCCGCAGUUCUUUCAGUUUUUUGGAGUCAGCAGCUCUGACUUUCCUGUUGGGAAUUCUCAGUGUCGGGUUUCUAUCUAUCCCAUGAUACAAUAGGAAGCUGCAUGUUAAUGAGCUGAGAGUCAUGAGGGCAAUAACAAGCAAUAAUUGCUGUUAAAAAAAUGGAACAUGGAAUAUGGAAAAAUGGAAUAUGGAAGGAGAAAAAAAAGUUGCUGUUAAUAGGCCUCUUGCUCCCCAGUGACAGUCUCAUCUUGACUUCCGGAACUCUAUUAGAAAAUGCAAUUAGCUGCUCCCAAUGUUGAGGCCUCGCUUGAGUUCCUUUGCAAUUCUUCAAGAUAUCUUGCCAUGGCCUACGCCAUACAAGAUUCUGCCCAAAUUACAUGUUUUGUUCAUGUCCUCAUUCUCCAUUGAAAAUUAUUUGACCUCUAUCUUUGGUCGACCUUUGUUUUCCCUUGUUAAUCAUUUCCAUUUUACAUACUCAUAGAAGCUGUUACGGUCUGUUUUUACAUUCCCACUGUUUUAGUUUCGUAUUCUGUUUUACUUUUUAGUAUCAAUAUCAAGGUCCUCAUUUCCUGAAUCUUAAAACAUUACCAAUUCUAAGAUUUGUUACUAUUUUAUAACUUUCUAAGCCUCUUCUUUUGAUCUAACACAAUUUUUAACCUCUCCUUAGUCAUGGCUGCAUUGCCUCCCCUAGUGGCGUAUGUGUCUCAAAACCUUUUGUGAACAAAUUCUUCGAAUGCUAGCCAUUGCCCGCCGAGCGUAAUAUAUUUUCAUUUAGUUUCUCGAUCUGUCAAAGCCAUUUGUCCCUCAUACCUUCAUAGAUCCCUGUGUGUGGAUUUAAUACCCCGGUGUUGGAUUGAAGUUAUCGUUUUCAAAAUUAAUGUAAAAUUCUAGCACAUCAUGGCUAUUAACCUUGGGAGGCUCUUGUACAAUGAGAUUAUGAAUCAUCUUUCUCAUUGCAAAAUAUUGGAUCUAAAAUAGUCCAUUCCCUAAAUAGGUUUUCAACAUAUUGUUCUGAGAUGACAAUUUCAUUUACUUCCCAGGAAUAUGUUAUGCAAGAAUUAGUGCUGAUUAGGUUUACCAAGUCAAUUUGUAGAUAAAAGACACCAUGGCCCUUGUUAUUCAGCCUCUAGUUUUCUGAGUUACACUGUGCCCUAUCUUACCACUAAUUAUAAACAACUCUCACUAAUGCAGGUUACCCCUUCCACCCUCUUAGUUCAUCCAAACUGCUUCUUCAUUUAAGUCUUCUGCUCCAAGAUCCUCACUCACUAAAGUAUUGUUUUCAUCCUUUAUCAACAGCCCCACCCAAUCCCCUUUUAGUUUUUUGCUUAUACUCCCUGAAUAUUGAAUGCAUUUGAACAUUUGUUUCCAGCCUUGGUCACCCUGCAGCCAUGUCUCCAUAGUGGCAAUUAUGA